Molecule: ribosomal RNA, 442 nt
Filed under: uncultured bacterium
Lineage: Bacteria
Description: partial 16S ribosomal RNA
Rfam family: Bacterial small subunit ribosomal RNA
Source: RNAcentral
CCUACGGGUGGCAGCAGUGGGGAAUAUUGGGCAAUGGGCGCAAGCCUGACCCAGCAACGCCGCGUGAAGGAAGAAGGCCCUCCGGUUGUUAACCUUCUUUUACAGGGGAGAGUAGAAGACGGUACCUGUCGAAUAAGCCACGGCUAACUACGUGCCAGCAGCCGCGGUAAUACGUAGGUGGCAAGCGUUGUCCGGAUUUACUGGGUGUAAAGGGCGUGUAGCCGGGUUGACAAGUCAGAUGUGAAAUCUUGCGGCUUAACCGCAGAACUGCAUUUGAAACUGUUGAUCUUGAGUACUGGAGAGGUAGACGGAAUUCGUGGUGUAGCGGUGAAAUGCGUAGAUAUUACGAAGAACUCCAGUGGCGAAGGCGGUCUACUGGACAGCAACUGACGGUGAGGCGCGAAAGCGUGGGGAGCAAACAGGAUUAGAUACCCGUGUAGUC